AUGAACGCUGGCGGCGUGCCUAAUACAUGCAAGUCGAGCGAACGGACGAGAAGCUUGCUUCUCUGAUGUUAGCGGCGGACGGGUGAGUAACACGUGGAUAACCUACCUAUAAGACUGGGAUAACUUCGGGAAACCGGAGCUAAUACCGGAUAAUAUUUUGAACCGCAUGGUUCAAAAGUGAAUGACGGUCUUGCUGUCACUUAUAGAUGGAUCCGCGCUGCAUUAGCUAGUUGGUAAGGUAACGGCUUACCAAGGCAACGAUGCAUAGCCGACCUGAGAGGGUGAUCGGCCACACUGGAACUGAGACACGGUCCAGACUCCUACGGGAGGCAGCAGUAGGGAAUCUUCCGCAAUGGGCGAAAGCCUGACGGAGCAACGCCGCGUGAGUGAUGAAGGUCUUCGGAUCGUAAAACUCUGUUAUUAGGGAAGAACAUAUGUGUAAGUAACUGUGCACAUCUUGACGGUACCUAAUCAGAAAGCCACGGCUAACUACGUG
RNAcentral lists this ribosomal RNA (496 nucleotides) under uncultured bacterium. RNAcentral describes it as "partial 16S ribosomal RNA". It matches the Rfam family "Bacterial small subunit ribosomal RNA", at positions 29 to 507 of the family's 1533-position model. The record is from RNAcentral.